AGUAUUCCACUUCGGUCUAAGAGCGUACGGCGAGGAGUACGUUCGCAAUGAUGAUGGUCAGAAUAUUCUUCGGCCCAGCAGGAUACAGGCGAUCUUAGCACAGGUAUAUAUUAGCCAGCAAGGACAAGUCCGACGAUAAUGGGACGCACUGGCAUUCAUCGACCGAGAGUUCACAAUUCAUCCACGGAUUACGUAUUCCUGAACGAGAAAAACUCCACACUGUUGAGGCAUUUCAAUGUUUUUAUGCAAUUAGACGAAAACCAGCAAUGGCAUAGAACUCCGAUCUAUACGUUUAUUUCCGAUCACAAUGUAAGGUCACCUCCUCAAAAGAAUGUGAUUUUUUAAAUCCCAUAUCUCCGACGAGUUGCAUUCCAAAUAAAAAAAAUCAAAGUUUCAUUCAAAAGAUAAUUAGCCAAGUAAACUUUGAACAUGAUUUUGGCGAGACCUUUCUGAAAA
Long non-coding RNA from Aedes albopictus (Asian tiger mosquito), 456 nucleotides. RefSeq lists it as uncharacterized. The record is from RefSeq and is a predicted model, not a curated record. The transcript is spliced from 2 exons. NCBI's taxonomy places the organism in Eukaryota, Metazoa, Arthropoda, Insecta, Diptera, Culicidae.